RNAcentral lists this ribosomal RNA (490 nucleotides) under uncultured bacterium. Its description in RNAcentral is "SSU rRNA". It matches the Rfam family "Bacterial small subunit ribosomal RNA", at positions 26 to 521 of the family's 1533-position model. The record is from RNAcentral.
AGAACGAACGUUAGCGGCGCGCCUAACACAUGCAAGUCGCACGAGAAAGGGCUUCGGCCCCGGUACAGUGGCGCACGGGUGAGUAACACGUGGGUAAUGUUCCCUCAGGCAGGGGAUAACCUUCCGAAAGGAGGGCUAAUACCGCAUAAGACCACGGCCUCGAAAGAGGCUGAGGUAAAAGCAGGCCUCUUCAUGAAAGCUUGCGCCAGGGGAUCAGCCCGCGGCCCAUCAGCUAGUUGGCAGGGUAAUGGCCUACCAAGGCUAAGACGGGUAGCUGGUCUGAGAGGAUGAUCAGCCACACUGGAACUGAGACACGGUCCAGACUCCUACGGGAGGCAGCAGUGGGGAAUCUUGCGCAAUGGGGGAAACCCUGACGCAGCAACGCCGCGUGGAGGAUGAAGCCCCUUGGGGCGUAAACUCCUUUCGAUCGGGAAGAUAAUGACGGUACCGGAAGAAGAAGCCCGGCUAACUUCGUGCCAGCAGCCGCGGU